AGUGAACUAAGUCAAUUUUUUCACUCAUAAAAGAGUUGGAUAGCCACGGAUCUAAGGUGUUAACUAGGAUAGCCGGGUUGCAACA
Molecule: non-coding RNA, 85 nt
Filed under: Paenibacillus sp.
Lineage: Bacteria; Bacillati; Bacillota; Bacilli; Caryophanales; Paenibacillaceae
Also listed under: 1 other name
Description: c-di-GMP sequence
Rfam family: c-di-GMP-I riboswitch aptamer
About the family: GEMM was predicted in a large-scale screen for bacterial structured RNA regulatory elements. Genes associated with GEMM are involved in a diverse array of functions, including chemotaxis regulation, signal transduction, secretion and chitin.
Source: RNAcentral